Molecule: ribosomal RNA, 403 nt
Filed under: uncultured bacterium
Lineage: Bacteria
Description: partial 16S ribosomal RNA
Rfam family: Bacterial small subunit ribosomal RNA
Source: RNAcentral
GACGAACGCUGGCGGCGUGCCUAAUACAUGCAAGUCGAACGCAGUGGGGACGGGUGCGUAACACGUGGGUAACCUCCCAUCAGAGGGGAUAACACUUGGAAACAGGUGCUAAACCGAUAUUGAUGUAUGGACCCGCGGUGCAUUAGCUAGUUGGUGAGGUAACGGCUCACCAAGGCCACGAUGCAUAUGCGACCUGAAAGGGUGAUCGGACACACUGGGACUGAGACACGGCCCAGACUCCUACGGGAGGCAGCAGUAGGGAAGCUUCGGCAAUGGACGAAAGUAUGACCGAGCAACAACGCGUGAGUGAAGAAGGUUUUCGGAUCGUAAAACUCUGUUGUUAGAUAAGCGGUAUCUAACCAGAAAGCCACGGGUAAGUACGUGCCAGCAGCCGCGGUAAUUC